Molecule: ribosomal RNA, 492 nt
Filed under: uncultured bacterium
Lineage: Bacteria
Description: partial 16S ribosomal RNA
Rfam family: Bacterial small subunit ribosomal RNA
Source: RNAcentral
AGUGAACGCUGGCGGUAGGCCUAACACAUGCAAGUCGAACGGCAGCACAGUAAGAGCUUGCUCUUACGGGUGGCGAGUGGCGGACGGGUGAGGAAUACAUCGGAAUCUACUUUUUCGUGGGGGAUAACGUAGGGAAACUUACGCUAAUACCGCAUACGACCUACGGGUGAAAGCAGGGGAUCUUCGGACCUUGCGCGAUUGAAUGAGCCGAUGUCGGAUUAGCUAGUUGGCGGGGUAAAGGCCCACCAAGGCGACGAUCCGUAGCUGGUCUGAGAGGAUGGUUCGCCAAACUGGAACUGAGACAAGGUCCAGACUCCCACGGGAGGGCGCAGUGGGGAAUAUUGGACAAUGGGCGCAAGCCUGAUCCAGCCAUACCGCGUGGGUGAAGAAGGCCUUCGGGUUGUAAAGCCCUUUUGUUGGGAAAGAAAAGCAGCAGGUUAAUACCCCGCUGUUCUGACGGUACCCAAAGAAUAAGCACCGGCUAACUUCGUG